UUUUCAGUGUUUUCACUCUGAAAUUUGUAAUUACGUUUUAAAUAACCUAGUAUCGAGUUCAAGUGUGAGAUAACAUUCUAUUUCAAGUUUCCCAUUGGUUGACAAGAUCACGUGGUCUACUGGCCAACACUAUUUAAACCGCCGCUCUGUCUGCUGCAGUAUCAGAUAUUUCCCCAGCGAAACAUCCGACUCUUAUUAACAUGGGCAAGGAAAGGACCAGCGUCAACAUGGCCGUCGUCGGCUACUACUAGACCCUCUAUCAGCAGAUGGACGGCUAGUACAACACGGACAUGACCCGGCUUCUGUACACGGACACGCUCUGGACACGGACGAUACGAUGCUAGGCUCUCCCGGAUUAUUAUAACUCAACAUGAUUGGCUUUUUAUGAAAUAUAUCAAAAUUUUUCCGUUUAA
This is a long non-coding RNA of Homalodisca vitripennis (glassy-winged sharpshooter), 413 nucleotides long. RefSeq lists it as uncharacterized. The transcript has 2 exons. The record is from RefSeq and is a predicted model, not a curated record. NCBI's taxonomy places the organism in Eukaryota, Metazoa, Arthropoda, Insecta, Hemiptera, Cicadellidae.